CCUGAUAAGGAUGAGGCCACAGGUUCAAAUCCUGUUAGCCCCA
Molecule: transfer RNA, 43 nt
Filed under: Streptomyces roseus
Lineage: Bacteria; Bacillati; Actinomycetota; Actinomycetes; Kitasatosporales; Streptomycetaceae
Also listed under: 2 other names
Rfam family: tRNA
About the family: Transfer RNA (tRNA) molecules are approximately 80 nucleotides in length. Their secondary structure includes four short double-helical elements and three loops (D, anti-codon, and T loops).
Source: Rfam by way of RNAcentral